UACGUAGGGUGCGAGCGUUGUCCGGAAUUAUUGGGCGUAAAGGGCUCGUAGGCGGUUUGUCACGUCAGGAGUGAAAACUCGGGGCUCAACCCCGAGCCUGCUUCUGAUACGGGCAGACUGGAGGUAUGCAGGGGAGAACGGAAUUCCUGGUGUAGCGGUGAAAUGCGCAGAUAUCAGGAGGAACACCGGUGGCGAAGGCGCCACUCUGGGCCGAAACUGACGCUGAGGAGCGAAAGCGUGGGUAGCAAACAGG
Molecule: ribosomal RNA, 253 nt
Filed under: uncultured bacterium
Lineage: Bacteria
Description: partial 16S ribosomal RNA
Rfam family: Bacterial small subunit ribosomal RNA
Source: RNAcentral